AUUGAACGCUGGCGGCAUGCUUUACACAUGCAAGUCGAACGGCAGCGCGGGCUUCGGCCUGGCGGCGAGUGGCGAACGGGUGAGUAAUGCAUUGGAACGUGCCCAGUAGUGGGGGAUAGCCCGGCGAAAGCCGGAUUAAUACCGCAUACGACCUGAGGGUGAAAGCGGGGGACCGAAAGGCCUCGCGCUAUUGGAGCGGCCGAUGUCGGAUUAGCUAGGUGGUGGGGUAAAGGCUUACCAAGGCGACGAUCCGUAGCUGGUCUGAGAGGACGACCAGCCACACUGGGACUGAGACACGGCCCAGACUCCUACGGGAGGCAGCAGUGGGGAAUUUUGGACAAUGGGGGCAACCCUGAUCCAGCCAUGCCGCGUGCGGGAAGAAGGCCUUCGGGUUGUAAACCGCUUUUGUUCGGGAAGAAAUCCUCUGGGCUAAUACCCCGGGGGGAUGACGGUACCGGAAGAAUAAGCACCGGCUAACUACGUG
This 484-nucleotide ribosomal RNA is filed under the name uncultured bacterium. RNAcentral describes it as "partial 16S ribosomal RNA". It matches the Rfam family "Bacterial small subunit ribosomal RNA", at positions 28 to 507 of the family's 1533-position model. The record is from RNAcentral.